AUUAAAGAGUUCUAUAACUCCCAAACCCAUGUGAACAUACCUAACGUUGCCUCGGCAGGUCGCACCUACCUUGUAGCACCCUACCCUGUAGGGCCUACCCGGGAGGUGCGGGUAAGCCUGCCGGCGGCCCACCAAACUCUGUUUGAUAUUGAAUUCUGAACCUAUAACUAAAUAAGUUAAAACUUUCAACAACGGAUCUCUUGGUUCUGGCAUCGAUGAAGAACGCAGCGAAAUGCGAUAAGUAAUGUGAAUUGCAGAAUUCAGUGAAUCAUCGAAUCUUUGAACGCAUAUUGCGCCCAUUAGUAUUCUAGUGGGCAGGACCGUUCGAGCGUCAUUUCAACCCUUAAGCCUUCGUUGCUUAGUGUUGGGAGCCUACGGCAACGUAGCUCCUCAAAGUUAGUGGCGGAGUUGGUUCACACUCUAGACGUAGUAAUUUUUUAUCUCGCCUAUUAGUUGGACUAAUCCCCUGCCGUAAAACCCCUAAUUUAUCAAGGUUGACCUCGAAUCGGUUCAGACAAACUCGCUAAAUUGAAGCAUCUUAGUCAGCGAAGGAAAAGAAACCAACAGGGAUUGCCCUAGUAACGGCGAGUGAAGCGGCAACAGCUCAAAUUU
This 612-nucleotide ribosomal RNA is filed under the name fungal endophyte. RNAcentral describes it as "eukaryotic LSU rRNA". The stretch from base 181 to 334 matches the Rfam family "5.8S ribosomal RNA". The record is from RNAcentral. Lineage: Eukaryota; Fungi.